Molecule: transfer RNA, 71 nt
Filed under: Odontobutis obscura
Lineage: Eukaryota; Metazoa; Chordata; Actinopteri; Gobiiformes; Odontobutidae
Description: tRNA-Asp
Rfam family: tRNA
About the family: Transfer RNA (tRNA) molecules are approximately 80 nucleotides in length. Their secondary structure includes four short double-helical elements and three loops (D, anti-codon, and T loops).
Source: RNAcentral
AAGAUACUGGUGUAAAGAAAACACACUGCCUUGUCAAGGCAGAACUGCGGGUUAAAUCCCCACGCAUCUUA